GGGGACGUGGCCGAGUGGUCUAAGGCACCUCACUGUUAAUGAGGCGGCAGAGGUGGGGUACAUCCACCAAAGCCCGUAGGUUCGAAUCCUAUCGUCCCCGCCA
This 103-nucleotide transfer RNA is filed under the name Acidobacteriota bacterium. RNAcentral describes it as "Acidobacteria bacterium tRNA-Asn". It matches the Rfam family "tRNA". From Rfam's summary of the family: Transfer RNA (tRNA) molecules are approximately 80 nucleotides in length. Their secondary structure includes four short double-helical elements and three loops (D, anti-codon, and T loops). Further hydrogen bonds mediate the characteristic L-shaped molecular structure. tRNAs have two regions of fundamental functional importance: the anti-codon, which is responsible for specific mRNA codon recognition, and the 3' end, to which the tRNAs corresponding amino acid is attached (by aminoacyl-tRNA synthetases). tRNAs cope with the degeneracy of the genetic code in two manners: having more than one tRNA (with a specific anti-codon) for a particular amino acid; and 'wobble' base-pairing, i.e. permitting non-standard base-pairing at the 3rd anti-codon position. The record is from RNAcentral. Lineage: Bacteria; Pseudomonadati; Acidobacteriota. RNAcentral also lists the same sequence under 1 other name.